UAUAGCAGGAAAAUCGAUGUGUGUUUUGAACUCCAUGAGAUUUUGGUUAAUGAGGAAAUUUACUGGCUCCAGCAAUCCCACGAACGCUGGCUUCUCAAAGGUGACCUGAACACUGAUUAUUUCCAUAAAAUUGCCAAUGGGCGUAAGCGUAAAAAUACUAUCCACUCUCUUAAAGCUGGCGAGGUGGAAAUAGAGGGUAUAGAUAACCUGAUUGCCCAUGCUACUGAUUUCUAUAAGGACCUCUUCGGCCCAGCUCAGGGCAAUCAGUUUCACUUGGAUCCUUAUACUUGGUCCGAGAGUGAAAAGCUGAGUGAGUAUGACAAUAGAGAUCUUUGCUGCGAAUUCACAAAAACUGAAGUUAAAGAUGCCCUCUUCUCUAUGGCCACCAAUAGGGCACCUGGACCAGAUAACAUUCCUCUCGAAUUUUAUCAAAUAUGUUGGGAUAUAGUAAAGGAUGAUAUCAUGUCCCUUUUUAGACACUUUCAUAAUGGGACGCUUGAUGUUCAACGUCUUAAUUAUGGAGUGAUCACUUUACUACCCAAAGUGUCGGGAGCUGACAAGAUUCAGUAG
Molecule: ribosomal RNA, 570 nt
Filed under: Triticum aestivum (bread wheat)
Lineage: Eukaryota; Viridiplantae; Streptophyta; Magnoliopsida; Poales; Poaceae
Description: partial small subunit ribosomal RNA
Source: RNAcentral